AGAGCGAACGCUGGCGGCAGGCUUAACACAUGCAAGUCGAGCGGGCGUAGCAAUACGUCAGCGGCAGACGGGUGAGUAACGCGUGGGAACGUACCUUUGGUUCGGAACAACCCAGGGAAACUUGGGCUAAUACCGGAUAAGCCCUUACGGGGAAAGAUUUAUCGCCGAAAGAUCGGCCCGCGUCUGAUUAGCUAGUUGGUGAGGUAAUGGCUCACCAAGGCGACGAUCAGUAGCUGGUCUGAGAGGAUGAUCAGCCACAUUGGGACUGAGACACGGCCCAAAACUCCUACGGGAGGCAGCAGUGGGAAUAUGGACAAUGGGCGCAAGCCUGAUCCAGCCAUGCCGCGUGAGUGAUGAAGGCCCUAGGGUUGUAAAAGCUCUUUUGUGCGGGAAGAUAAUGACGGUACGCAAGAAUAAGCCCGGCUAACUUCGUGCCAGCAGCCG
RNAcentral lists this ribosomal RNA (444 nucleotides) under uncultured bacterium. Its description in RNAcentral is "SSU rRNA". It matches the Rfam family "Bacterial small subunit ribosomal RNA", at positions 26 to 517 of the family's 1533-position model. The record is from RNAcentral.